GAUGAACGCUGGCGGCGUGCCUAAUACAUGCAAGUCGAGCGAACAGACGAGGAGCUUGCUCCUCUGACGUUAGCGGCGGACGGGUGAGUAACACGUGGAUAACCUACCUAUAAGACUGGGAUAACUUCGGGAAACCGGAGCUAAUACCGGAUAAUAUAUUGAACCGCAUGGUUCAAUAGUGAAAGACGGUUUUGCUGUCACUUAUAGAUGGAUCCGCGCCGCAUUAGCUAGUUGGUAAGGUAACGGCUUACCAAGGCAACGAUGCGUAGCCGACCUGAGAGGGUGGUCGGCCACACUGGAGCUGAGACGCGGUCCAGACUCCUACGGGAGGCAGCAGUAUGGAAUCUUCCGCAAUGGGCGAAAGCUUUACGGAGCAACGCCGCGUGAGUGAUGAAGGUCUUCGGAUCGUAAAACUCUGUUAUUAGGGAAGAACAAAUGUGUAAGUAACUAUGCACGGCUUGACGGUACCUAAUCAGAAAGCCACGGCUAACUACGUG
This 497-nucleotide ribosomal RNA is filed under the name uncultured bacterium. RNAcentral's name for it is "partial 16S ribosomal RNA". It matches the Rfam family "Bacterial small subunit ribosomal RNA", at positions 28 to 507 of the family's 1533-position model. The record is from RNAcentral.